CGAAAACGAAUUCUCUCUUGAGUGGAUCCUGAGUACGACGGAGCACGUGAAAUUCCGUCGGAAUCUGGGAGGACCAUCUCCUAAGGCUAAAUACUCUCUAGUGACCGAUAGUGAACCAGUACCGUGAGGGAAAGGUGAAAAGUACCCCGGAAGGGGAGUGAAAGAGAACUUGAAACCGUGUGCUUACAAGUAGUCAGAGCCCGUUAAUGGGUGAUGGCGUGCCUUUUGUAGAAUGAACCGGCGAGUUACGAUCUGAUGCAAGGUUAAGCAGAAAAUGUGGAGCCGUAGCGAAAGCGAGUCUGAAUAGGGCGAAUGAGUAUUUGGUCGUAGACCCGAAACCAGGUGAUCUACCCUUGGUCAGGUUGAAGUUCAGGUAACACUGAAUGGAGGACCGAACCGACUUACGUUGAAAAGUGAGCGGAUGA
RNAcentral lists this ribosomal RNA (425 nucleotides) under Staphylococcus pseudintermedius. Its description in RNAcentral is "partial 23S ribosomal RNA". It matches the Rfam family "Bacterial large subunit ribosomal RNA", at positions 380 to 807 of the family's 2925-position model. The record is from RNAcentral. Lineage: Bacteria; Bacillati; Bacillota; Bacilli; Caryophanales; Staphylococcaceae.